GUUUGAUCAUGGCUCAGAACGAACGCUGGCGGCAGGCCUCAAACAUGCAAGUCUAGGGGGUGUAGCAAUACAUCACCGGCGGACGGGUGCGUAACACGUGGGAAUAUACCUUUUGGUUCGGAACAACGCAGGGAAACUUGCGCUAAUACCGAAUGUGCCCUUACGGGGAAAGAUUUAUCGCCAAAGGAUUAGCCCGCGGCCCAUUAGCUUGUUGGCGGGGUAACGGCCCACCAAGGCGACGAUGGGUAGCUGGUCUGAGAGGACGAUCAGCCACACUGGGACUGAGACACGGCCCAGACUCCUACGGGAGGCAGCAGUGGGGAAUCUUGCGCAAUGGGCGAAAGCCUGACGCAGCAACGCCGCGUGCGGGAAGAAGGCCUUCGGGUUGUAAACCGCUUUCAGCGGGGAAGAAGGCGAGCGGGUUAAUAGCCCGUCAGCUGACGGUACCCGCAGAAGAAGGUCCGGCUAACUACGUGCCAGCAGCCGCGGUAAUA
This 494-nucleotide ribosomal RNA is filed under the name uncultured bacterium. RNAcentral's name for it is "bacterial SSU rRNA". It matches the Rfam family "Bacterial small subunit ribosomal RNA", at positions 11 to 525 of the family's 1533-position model. The record is from RNAcentral.